RNAcentral lists this long non-coding RNA (1280 nucleotides) under Phoenix dactylifera (date palm). RNAcentral describes it as "long non-coding RNA (PDAC_LNC002048)". Lineage: Eukaryota; Viridiplantae; Streptophyta; Magnoliopsida; Arecales; Arecaceae. The record is from RNAcentral.
AUCAUGUUUGUGCUUGAGUGGCUAGCGGUUAACAUAAGAGCAACAACAUUGAUACACAGUCUGUUGAGAGAUGUACAACUAAAUGUCAAAUGAUAUUUUUGUUCAAUCAGUUUUAAACUUGAACCAAUUUAAAUUGUUUUAUACUACUUUCUGUACAUAUUUUGAAAAGUAAAUGCAAGUAUUGACAAACUUAUACAAGCAUAGCAUCAUAAAUCAUGCUAGAGACCUGAAUAGAAUUUUCCCAAUCAUGUGUAUUGCAUAGUUUCUGGUAAUAUAUCACAUGAACAAAAAUUACAUAACUAUGUUUACAUAUUAACAUCACAAACAGGCAAAAGAUUCAUGACGAAAUUAUGACAAAGGAAAAUUCUGUAAUAAAAGGAUUUAAAAAAUUAAUAUAAGUAAACAAAAAAUGUUGAAUAUAUAGUAUAAUUGCUCUAAAAAUAAAAAUGGUUGAGUAUUUGAUCAUGAUUCAUGACAUUGGUGGUUAAUGCAGGCAUGCAUGCUUGUGUUAUGUAAAAAGGUUCAAUGUAACUCCUAAAAAGCAAAGUUAAUGGCCCUUACCAGUCAUUGGCUGGUAUGGUACAUACAGCAAUAUUCUUCUAUAUAAUCCAACAUGAUCUGUAACCAGAAUCUGCAUGGUUCUGCACAGGGUUGAUAUAGGUGCAUUGUGAGAACCCGCACAGGCAUGUUUUAGUCCCACAUCUAUUGUGUGCUUGGGAGAUCUUGGGUACUUAUAUAGGGCCAAGGAAACCAGAUAAUACCUCCGAGCUAGCCUUUAUGGGUGAGGUCCUAGGCCGCUAGAAAUAGUAUCAAAGCCGACCUGGCCAAUUGCCCACAUGGACAACAGGACAUUAUAGCACGGCCCUUUUCCGGCUGACCAUAGACCAAUCGUAGUGUUUGUGAUUGAAUUUGAUUGGAUUUAGAUCCUUAGCUUGGCGAGGAUGCAAAGGCUUAAACAAGAAAAAUGUGUGAGGGGAUGUGAGGGCGUGUUCAGUCCCACAUUAGUUGUAUGCAGGGAGAUUUUAAGUACUUAUAUACAGCUAAAGAAUCCAAAUAAUAUUUUCGGGCUAGCCUUUUUUGGUGAGGUUCUGGGUCAUUACAUGUUUACUGACCAGUAUGGGCCAUACAGACAGUACUUACUAUCUUAAAUUCUUCUAAAAAUUUCAAAGAAAUUCUUGACUAGACAUCUAUAUAAAUGUAUUCAUGUAACUCACACAAUUUGUGUAGUGCAUGCAAGGGAUAAUCAUUACUAUAAACAACAAGAGAUAUACAUUUACCUU